This 604-nucleotide ribosomal RNA is filed under the name uncultured fungus. Its description in RNAcentral is "eukaryotic LSU rRNA". The stretch from base 224 to 377 matches the Rfam family "5.8S ribosomal RNA". The record is from RNAcentral. Lineage: Eukaryota; Fungi.
GGAAGGAUCAUUAUCAGUCUCUGGCUGUGCAUGCUGCAUGUGCAAUCCAAAACAAACCACUCUGUGUACUUUUCCUGUUGCUUUCAUGGGGCAUGGUGUCUUUACAUCACUCCGCGGUUGGUCUUUAUGGCCGAAGUUUGGAGAGUCUCCAUGAAAGGUUAUUGACCAAAUCACUUGCCGUCUUGUAUUUUCAGUCUGAAUAUGAUAAAAUUAAUAUAGUUAAAACUUUCAACAACGGAUCUCUUGGUUCUUGCAUCGAUGAAGAACGCAGCGAAAUGCGAUAAGUAGUGUGAAUUGCAGAAUUCAGUGAAUCAUCGAAUCUUUGAACGCACAUUGCGCCCUUCGGUAUUCCGGGGGGCAUGCCUGUUCGAGCGUCAUCAAAAACUUCUCAAGACAUGUUCUUGGUCGUGGAGAGUGGUUGACUUUAUGUCACCCACUUCCUAAAUCGAUUGGCAGAUUGCAAAACUUUCACAGAGUGUAAUAAUAAUAACCAUUCAUGACGUGACUUUUGCAUAUUGAGCUAUAAACCCUCAUUUAUUAUUCAGGUUGACCUCGGAUCAGGUAGGGAUACCCGCUGAACUUAAGCAUAUCAAUAAGCGGAGGA